Molecule: unclassified non-coding RNA, 212 nt
Filed under: rhizosphere metagenome
Description: partial ribosomal RNA internal transcribed spacer region
Source: RNAcentral
AGAGCCAGGGAGCGUCGCCAGCCUGGAAACAGGCCGGUGGCACCCUCCCGAACUCCACCCUUGAAUAAAUUACCUUUGUUGCUUUAGCGGGCCGCCUCGUGCCAGCGGCUUCGGCUGUUGAGUGCCCGCCAGAGGACCCUAAACUCUGUUUAUUAGUGUCGUCUGAGUACUAUAUAAUAGUUAAAACUUUCAACAACGGAUCUCUUGGUUCU